This 29-nucleotide small RNA is filed under the name Bombyx mori (domestic silkworm). Its description in RNAcentral is "ovarian small RNA-15401". The record is from RNAcentral. Lineage: Eukaryota; Metazoa; Arthropoda; Insecta; Lepidoptera; Bombycidae.
GACAUUGAUCUUGGGCCUUAAGGGCCAGG